CUAUCUGAUCAGGACAUAUAAAAUGGAUAUGUGUAUCUAUUCCUCCUGGAGUUAUUAUUAGCCCUUCUCCUGCAAUUGCCUCUGUAGAUGCACCAACUGUCAUUCCUUCAGUUACUCCAUCCAUUAUAUCUGGGUUUCCUGCUUUUCCUAUUGCUCUUAUUUUUCCAUCCUUUAUUCCUAUAUCUGCUUUCAAAAUGCCUUUAUAGUCAAGUAUAACUGCAUUAGUUAUUACUAAAUCCAAGUCUCCAUCUUCGCUAGUAGUAUUUACAGACUGUCCCAUUCCAUCACGUAUGG
Molecule: small RNA, 294 nt
Filed under: Clostridium sp. Maddingley MBC34-26
Lineage: Bacteria; Bacillati; Bacillota; Clostridia; Eubacteriales; Clostridiaceae
Description: 5' ureB small RNA
Rfam family: 5' ureB small RNA
Source: Rfam by way of RNAcentral